Molecule: ribosomal RNA, 460 nt
Filed under: uncultured bacterium
Lineage: Bacteria
Description: partial 16S ribosomal RNA
Rfam family: Bacterial small subunit ribosomal RNA
Source: RNAcentral
CCUACGGGAGGCAGCAGUGAGGAAUAUUGGUCAAUGGACGCGAGUCUGAACCAGCCAAGUAGCGUGAAGGAUGACUGCCCUAUGGGUUGUAAACUUCUUUUAUAUGGGAAUAAAAUGUUCCACGUGUGGGGUUUUGUAUGUACCAUAUGAAUAAGGAUCGGCUAACUCCGUGCCAGCAGCCGCGGUAAUACGGAGGAUACGAGCGUUAUCCGGAUUUAUUGGGUUUAAAGGGUGCGUAGGUGGAUUGUUAAGUUAGUGGUGAAAUUUUGGGGCUCAACCGUAACAGUGCAGUUGAAACUGGCAGUCUUGAGUAUAGUAGAGGUAGGCGGAAUGCGUGGUGUAGCGGUGAAAUGCAUAGAGAUCACGAAGAACUCCGAUUGCGAAGGCAGCUCACUGGACUGCAACUGACACUGAGGCUCGAAAGUGUGGGUAUCAAACAGGAUUAGAUACCCGUGUAGUC